This 468-nucleotide ribosomal RNA is filed under the name uncultured bacterium. Its description in RNAcentral is "partial 16S ribosomal RNA". It matches the Rfam family "Bacterial small subunit ribosomal RNA", at positions 28 to 507 of the family's 1533-position model. The record is from RNAcentral.
GACGAACGCUGGCGGCGUGCUUAACACAUGCAAGUCGAACGGAAAGACCCUGCGCUUGUGGGGUGCUCGAUUGGCGAACGGGGGAGUAACACGUGAGUAACCUGCCCCUGUCUUUGGGAUAACUUCAGGGAAAUGGGGCUAAUAUCGGAGAUGAGCUCCUGCUGCAUGGUGGGGGAUGGUAAGUUUCGGCGGUGGGGGAUGGACUCGCGGCUUAUCAGCUUGUUUGUGGGGUAGUGGCGUACCAAGGCUUUGACGGGUAGCCGGCCUGGGAGGGUGACCGGCGACCAUGGGCCUGCGAUACGGCCCAGACUCCUACGGUCGGCAGCAGUGGGGAGUAUUGCGCAGUGGGCGGAAGCCUGAUGCAGCAACGCCGCGUGCGGGAUGCCCGCUUUCGGGUUGUAAACCACUUUCGCCUGUGCCGAGGCGUGCGUGACGGUAAUGGGUAAAGAAGCACCGGCUAACUACGUG